RNAcentral lists this ribosomal RNA (251 nucleotides) under uncultured bacterium. RNAcentral's name for it is "partial 16S ribosomal RNA". It matches the Rfam family "Bacterial small subunit ribosomal RNA", at positions 524 to 776 of the family's 1533-position model. The record is from RNAcentral.
UACGGAGGGUGCAAGCGUUAUCCGGAUUCACUGGGUUAAAGGGUGCGUAGGUGGGUAUGUAAGUCAGUGGUGAAAUCCCCGAGCUUAACUUGGGAACUGCCGUUGAUACUAUAUAUCUUGAAUAUCGCGUAGGUAAGCGGAAUAUGUCAUGUAGCGGUGAAAUGCUUAGAUAUGACAUAGAACACCAAUUGCGAAGGCAGCUUACUUCACGAUCAUGACACUGAGGCACGAAAGCGUGGGGAGCAAACAGG